ACAUGCUAAGUUCAUAGUAAUUGUUGAAGAGCCGUUGAGUUUUCAUUCGAUUAUGUUUGUUUUGGAUCUCUGAUCAAUCGAGCACCAUGUCAUGUAUUCAUAAAAUUUCAUAAUGAAAUUGGAGGCACAAAUACUCAUUUCUAAAUAUUUAUAAACACUAAAAAAACGGAAACCUGCAUGUAUAGAGGAUCUAUUAACAUUACUAAAGAUCUUGUGGUCCAAAUACAGAAGCAAGCUAGUAACAAUUACUUUAGAUAAAAUAUCAGAGUUGAAAGUGUAGUUCGAAAAAGUGAUUUACGUUUAUCAGUAAAACAUAAAGCAUUUAGGAUUGUUGCGUAUAGCAUAUAUAAAAACCUCAAUUUGAAAUUGAAUGCUUCAAUUUAACAGGAAAAUAAGACGAUGAGGGACGAUUCCACUUUUGUAGCAGAUCAGAAACACCAACAUCAACUGAAUAGAUGACUAACUCUCUUUUAUCUUGAACUCUAUUUCUGAUGUAAUCAAAUCUAACAUAUUCAUCACAUAACAACAUCCGUACUUUCUGGUCUCUCCUAUUCACAUCUACACAACAAUGAGCAAAUUUAUUAAUGCAAUAGCCACAUCUUCUUUAGAUUUUUUUUCGGAUCGUCAUUUAACCUUUGUUAUUUCACAAUCAUCGAGUUGCUUCAUGCACUUCUUGUAGUCAGUAUACAAACCGUGGGCGUUUACAUGUCCUCCUAGUGAUUGAGAGAUACAAUCUUAGUAAGAGAUUGAGAAAACAUGACAAACAUAUAUUCUUUAUGUGUGCGAUAUAGAACAAAUCAAUCAAGAAUCGGUGUGUUUUGUAGGGUACUUGUAGUGAACAUGUGUUCGAAAGAAAACGUUGUCAGGGUGUUUUUGUGCUUGUCGGAUUUAGAACAAAAAGGCACUCAAUGCAAAGUGAAACCAGGCCCAAAAUUGAUCGAGGAUAGGAUCCAAGAACGACUUUGUUGUGAUGCGCUUGAUAAUAACAGCAGCGACUUGCUUGACUAUAACAACAUCAAUUUUACUUUCACGAAACAACAACAAGGCUUGCAAAUGGAUGUAGUGGGGGAGCCAAGAGCUUGUGAGUUUAGUGAGAGAGUGACAAGACCCACCUCGAAUUUCAUCCUGAAACCCAAAGUAAAUCUUGCGGGGUCCACCUUUAAUGAAAAUUUACCGAAAAUUCGGCAUAAUCCACCUUGAAAAUGGACAACCCUUACCUGAAAAAAAAUUCCAGAUAAACACUUCUAUUAUAAAUCAUCCAUCCUCAACUCCUGGAGUCUUCCUGCUCCCCAAGUUCAUCACAACAUCUCCCAAAAUAUCAAAUACUACUCUAAAGAAUCCCACCACCAACAAAACCAAUUUAAUAAUUUACUAUUAGAUUUUCAGAGCAUAUCUAAUAAUGAACGAAAAACAAUGAAUAAAGAAUAAACGGAAGCAGCCUCUGACUAUGCCUCGACCCUAUGUACGCUCGGCCUCAAAUACCUAGCCUGCAAACUGGGCAUUUAAAACCAAAGGGCCCAGGGGAAAGUAAUUUAAAAACGUUAAAGUGAGUGGACGAAAAUAAACAAAUAAAAAGACAUAGGAUAACAAAAACCAAAACUUAAAUACUUUCUCACUUUCCAAUAAGCAAUAAAUCUGUUGCAUGCAAGUGUUGAUAACGCCUUCAAAAGAAAAUCCCGAGAAUACAGACUAGUCUCACUAGUCAAAAUAUCGACAAAGAUAAUUAAUAACCUUCAUAGAAGAAGGUACCAAAAUAAUAGACUAGCCCCGCUAGUCAAAACAACAAGAAGGAUUCAUUAAGACUUUCAUAAAAAUGAAUAUCAAAAAGAUGGACUAGCCCCGCUAGUCAAAACAACAACAAUAAAUAAAGAGCAUAUAUAUAUAUAUAUAUAUAUAGCCAUACAAGUGAGCCUCCCAGGCAAAAGUACUCCCAUACUCCCUACACCUUCACGUUGUGAUAACAGAGAGGGUGCAUGGCUUGCGUGAUGUCGUUGAUUACAUCACAUCACCCGAAGGCGGAAAGGGCUUGAGUAACCCCACUUAAAACGUGGAAGCCACAUCGCCUCGAAAGGCGGAACAACAUGCUAGUAUGAAUAUCAUAAAUAAUCCAACAAGUAUGGCAUAAGAAGGGAAAAUAUAAUUUCAUAUGAGUUUUCCCAAAACUCAUAAAUCGAGCAUAAGUACGAUUCCCAACCGUACUCGGAAAAUUCCAAAGCAAGGAAAUUAAUUAAAUUCAAUAACGUGUGGGAAUGCUCAAUGAAAUAAAUAACUCAAAUCAUUAACAUGUUUCAAAAAUUAGACAAUACUCAAAUCCUUAAAGAAAUCUCAAAUCCAGAGAUCAAAAGAAUAUCAUAAUUUAAAUACCAAAACAAUUACCCAACUCAAAAUUCAUAAUUCAUUAACAAUCUCAAAUAAUUUUCAAUGCAAGCCAUAAGCCGAAAUUAUAAUAUAUGAGCUCGAUAAAAAAAAAUAACGAUAACUUAUAAAUUAAGUCAUGCAUGCAUAUUUAAUAAAAACCAAAAUCUCCACUCACAGAUUUAGGCCUAAGCCUGACGAAAUCUGAAUCGCCACUCAUGCGAGGUCUCCUCGUAUCCUGGCACAAUAUUCAUGCUUAGAACCAACUUCAAUUUCAGAAAAUAAAUAAUUAACUAAAAACACCCAAAACUCUUCCGCUUAACCCAUUACUCUUACUUGGGUUAAGUUUACCGGAUUCACACCAAACUCCACCAUAACCUUAAAUCAUCGAUUCUAACAUUUUAAAAUAGAUACCAAGGAAAUCCAACGGACCAAUUUUCAUAUUAAUCACCGCCAAAAUCCUUAAUCAUUGGAAAAUCCCAAACCUUAUCAAAACUCCUCCAAAAAUUCCAAACUUUACUUCAUUAAACCCCUCUCAUUAAAACCAUCUCAAAAACAUGAAAAACUGCCCUUACGGGGCUGCGGCCGGUAGCCGUACUCCGGCGACCUCCAAUGCUUCCCAAAUUUUAACACAACAAUCCUCUCAAUAUGCAUAACAACUUCUGUAACUAGCACUUAGUCUAAUUCUAAGCCUAACUAGGGUAAUCGAAUCAAAACCUUAAAUUGAACCCUAGAACUUCAAUUAUACAUUUCUCCCUACCAAGAUCGAAUUUAGCCAAUUCCUUUUAAGGGAUUACUCACCUUGAUGAGGGCUACAAGAUGAGCCAAAAAUCCCGAGCUAUGGUGGCCGGAGGAGGGAACUCCGGCAAGAAGACAGUCGACGUCUCCGGCGGAAUUCCUCUCAAACGACGACGUUAUGGCGGCUCUCACCAGUCCAGGGAGGGAGCUGGGUGGACAGCCGACAGUUUGAGACCGGUACGGCGGUCUAUGGUGGCCGGACGGUGACGGAUAGUGGCUGGGUCUCUGACGGGUCGGGAGGAGCUCACGGGAGAGAGAGAAGAAAGAGUGUGGGUGGGUGUUGGGCUCCUCCACACCUACCCGGUCCAACUUAAACACCCACCAAAAAUAAAACCCACUAAAUUUUUACCUCCAUUUUACCAACUCAAAAUUUACCCUUUUAUUUGAUAACUUUUUCACGCUAACUCCAAUUUUAACGCAUAGCAUGUCUACGAAUUCGUAUUAACGUCCUCUACGACUUUCAUGAAGAAAGUUUUCCCAAAUUCCAAACGGAAGAAAAAGUCAACUUUUGGAGUCUUAAAUAGUAAACGGUUACUUAAAACGGUAAAAGUUCAAAGUAACCUACAAGUAAAUAACCGCAAAUUGACUUAAGAACCGGGAUGUGACAGAGAGCCUAACUUUGUGUUAUGGAGGGUUAUGGAAUAGGGAUUGGCUUGGAAUAAGGGGACAGGGAUUUUAGAGAUGAAGCAUGAUCUCUUGCUUGAGGUUAGUGGUUGUUGAUGGUUGACUCCAACAGCAAGGAGUUGCCCUUUUUAUAGCAAAGGUAAAGGAGGAGGGUUACUGCUAGAACCAGAGGAUUUGAGAGAAGCCUCUCAAUUUUGGACAAGUGGUUUCCAAGCUUUGGCGCAUGGUUUCUCUCAUGGAAACAAAUUGGUGAAGGGGCUAUGGAUUCCUGUCUCACCUUAGAAACUGAAGGGCGGCGAUGACAGGUAUAUGGGUGGUGGCUUGUUGCUGUGAUAUUGGUAAGAUCAUGUAAUACCCCGGAAUUUUAAUAUUAGUUUCUAAUAUUAUUUUGGAAAUUAUUUAAGUAAGAGUUGUAUGGAUUUGUGGUUUAGUGAGUGGACUGGAAGUAGUUGAGUUUUUAGUUCCGUAAAAAUGCUCUAUUUUGAAGGGUUAAGAGUUGACUUUUUAAUCGGUUGGGUUUCUCGGGAAACUUCCUUCACGAUAGUUGUAUAGCACGACGAUACGAGUUCGUAGACACGUGGCACACGUAAAACGGACUUCGUAUGCGAAAGUUAUGGUCAGCAGAAGUUCGUGGUUUUCGGGAAUUUUAAGUAUAACUAAGAAAAGUGUUAGGUUUCUUUUCAUUUUUUCCGGAACCAUUUCUUCCCUCUUCUCUUUCUCUCCCGCGCCUCACCUUGGGUAUCUGAGUUUUCCAGCCGACCCGACCCGGACCCGGCAACCCAACCCGACUUUUUCGGCCAACUCCGGCCGACCCAGACGAUGGCACCGGUCGGGUUCUCUUCCUCUCCUCCGUCCGAGCUGUCACAUCCCGACCCUUAUAUUUUUACUUUAUUUACUAGCGUGAUUAUAAUAAGAAUUUUACCGUCUCGAUCAUUGAGUAAAUAGUUUAAUUGGUCCCUAGAGGGGUUUCGGGGACGAUUAUGUGCGGAGGAUUAUUCGUAUGAGGAAAAUACGACUACGGUAAAAAUGGUAAAUUUUAGCUAGUAAAAGGUAAUUUUUAUUCGGGUAUUAUUUUUCGGGGUGUUUUUAUUUUGGAAGUUUGGGUUUAAAAGGGGUGUUGGGUCGGCUGGGCCGAGCCCAACCCAUUUCUUCUUCCUUUCUCUCUCUCUCCCUCCCGAUUUUUCUUCUCUUCCCACCCGUAGUUUUUUCUCUCUACACCCAGCAGACUUCCGGCCGUCCUCCCGCCGCCGUCCGACCUCCGUUCGCCGCCGGACCGGUCCCGUUCGGUCGGUCUCCCUCCCAGCUUCCAUUCUAGACCGGUGAGAGGAGCCCUAGCGCCGCCGUGAGUGAGCGGUGCCGCCCGAAAGCUUCGACUGCCGAAUUGGUUUUCUCGCCGGAACUUCCUCCUCCGGCCACCAAUCCGGGCAAGCUUGGUAUGGUUUUGUAGCCCUCCAACCCAGCAACCUUGUCCUAAAAGGACUCACUCCCUCUUGAGCUAGGUAAGGAGAAAUUUGAGGUGGAAGUUUUAUGGUGUUUUUGAUGUUUUUAGUCGAUUGCCCUAGUUAGGCUUGGAAUUGGUGUUGUGCUAGUUAUGAAAGUUGUAGAGCUUGAUGAGAGGAAGGUGCUGUUAAAAUUUCAUAGGUUUUGGAGGUCGCCGGAAUUGACCUCCGGCCGCCGCUGCCGGCGGAGCCGCCGGCGGC
Molecule: long non-coding RNA, 5477 nt
Filed under: Fragaria vesca (wild strawberry)
Lineage: Eukaryota; Viridiplantae; Streptophyta; Magnoliopsida; Rosales; Rosaceae
Description: long non-coding RNA (FVES_LNC005474)
Source: RNAcentral